This 2841-nucleotide ribosomal RNA is filed under the name Triticum aestivum (bread wheat). RNAcentral describes it as "partial small subunit ribosomal RNA". The record is from RNAcentral. Lineage: Eukaryota; Viridiplantae; Streptophyta; Magnoliopsida; Poales; Poaceae.
AGAGAGAGAGAGAGAGAGAGAGAGAGAGAGAGAGAGAGAGAGAGAGAGAGAGAGAGGGCGGCGAAAGCUCGGGCAAAGCGGCAGCGGCAGCGUCGGCAGAUUCCCCUUGGGCGGGCGUCGCCGCUAUUUUACCACCCCCGGCCGAUUCACCGACGGAAGAUCCAACCCCCACCCCGCCCCAGCUGUCGGCGGCCCCCUAACCCCCGGGGCGCCUUUAUCCACCGGGGAUUUCUCGUCGUUUCUCGGGCGCAAGGCGGCGCCACUCUGGACCUCUUCCUCGGCGGUGGCGUCUUAUAGCUCCGGCGCUCGAUCCGCUGGUUUUCCGCGGGGCCGGGGGCGGCGGUUCUGGAUGACUUCUUGAGCUGGACCUCUUCAUCGAGCUUGUUCGAUUGGUUUGGGGGGAAGUAGUUGGUUCUUGCGGUGCUCGGCGGGCGAUUCCGGCGGGGUUCGGUUCCAAUCGGGGGAAAUGGCGUUCCUGCGGUCCCGGUGUUGACCAAUCUGGCCGAGCGCUCGCGGCUGCCAUGGCGGAUUUGGGGCUCUGGAACCAGGGGUGGACGUGGGUCCUCUCCCAGAAGCACGUCGUCGCCUGGGCGCACGCCGCGGCGGGCUGCGGCAGGGACCGCCUCGCCUUCCUCGUCGACCGCCACUGGCCGGCCGUUUCCCGGGCCUGCGUCAGCUCCUCGCGCCUCCUGCUCGAGGCGCUCAGGCAGUGGCGGGGCUGCACGGCGCGGGGCCUCCUCGCGCUCGCCAGCCUCGGCCCCGCCGCCGUCUUCGUCAUCCUCUGGAGCUGCUUCGUGUGCAUGACCUCGUCGGCCUGCGCCCUCUACGCCCUCCUUGGCCUGGGAGCUGUUGCGGCAGUCAUUCACUACAUGGGCUAUACGCCUGGCCUUCUUAUUGUAGGACUGUUUGGCAUCAUGAUUAUGUGGAUGUAUGGCUACUUUUGGAUUACCGGCAUGCUUCUGGUUGCUGGAGGUUGUAUGUGCUCUUUGAAACAUGCACGAUUUGUCAUACCUGUGUUGGCUAUGUAUGCUGUUUAUUGCGUGGCUGUUCGUGUCGGGUGGCUUGGAGUUUUCUUCACGCUGAAUCUCUCUUUUCUGACAAAUGAUCUUCUGAACAAGUUGCUGCAAGGAUAUGAGGGAAGCAUGGAAGAGAGACCAUUUGAAGAAAUGAAGGAUUCUGAUCCAGCCACGGAUGCCUUCUUUCGUGGCUGUGAAUAUCCUCCUGCUCCUGAAAGUGAACCAGAGACCGUGUCGUCUGCAAAGCCCUUUUGCGCAGCACCUACCCAAGAUGUGUUACAUGUACAGAAGGAGCCAUCUCCCAGUAAAAUAGUGAAAUCAAAUUCUACUUCGUUGGACGAGAUGAAGAGGAUAAUGGAUGGUUCGACCUAUUAUGAUGUUUUGGGCAUCUCUCGGAGCAAAAGCAUCAAUCUGAUCGAAUUGAAAAAGGAAUACAGAAAAUUGGCAGUUCUUGUCCAUCCUGAUAAAAACAUGGGUAAUCCAUUGGCGUGCGAGUCAUUCAAGAAGCUUCAGUCAGCUUUUGAGGUACUCUCAGAUUUAACGAAGAAAAAUGGCUAUGAUGAACAGCUGAGGAAAGAAGAAUCCCGGCAAAUGACUCAGAGAUCACGUGUUGUCUCUCAACCGAGUGGGGUAGAGUUUCUCUCUGAGGAGUCCAGGCGUAUACAGUGCACAAAAUGUGGUAAUUUUCAUUUAUGGAUAUGUACCAAGAGAAGCAAAGCAAAAGCAAGAUGGUGCCAGGAUUGUUCCCAAUACCAUGUUGCCAAGGACGGAGAUGGGUGGGUGGAAAAUAGAUAUUCUGCAUCCUUGAAGUUAGAAAUACCAAGAGCUUUUGUCUGUGCGGAGAGUAAAAUAUUUGAUGUAUCUGAGUGGGCUACUUGCCAGGGAAUGGAGUGCAAACCAAACACUCAUGGUCCAACUUUUAUGGUGAACAUGGUUGGUGCGGAUAGGAUGCCUCAGAGAUCGCAGAGUUCUCGGUAUCCCUUUAGCCUGGACGCCGAGAUGAUCCCCGAAGACGAAUUUGAGCUGUGGCUUCAACAGGCAUUGGCGACGGGCGUCUUCUCUGACAGCCCGAAACGAAGGAAAAGCUGGAGCCCCUUCAAACUGCCUCAGAAAGGGAUCAGAAGUUGGCGGCGAUCGUCAUGAGGGUGCGACGUUAAAUAGCAUGGCUACAUGGGGCCUCAGAUGGUAGCAACAUUGGGAAAAAGGCAAUAAUACAAGGGUUUGUAUUUGUAAAUAGACUGACCAAAAAAAUUUACCUGGACGAGCAACUAAUUUUGUCCGAAAAGAGAAACGACAAGUAAAAGGAACUCUUAAAUGAAAAGACACAGUGAACCUGACUGUUGAAAUUAGUUCUCUCUGCUGGGUUCCCACAAGUUGUUUCAAAGAAAAGACCAGGCAUGGGGUCGAAACAUGAGUAGCUGUUCGGCGUGCGAACUCCAUCAGUGCAGGGAUCGACGACGAAAAGAGUGCUGACCUGGAUUACAGGAGCAAAUUCUGCGGGUGUUGCGCUGCUCUUUCUGAAGCAUCGCUGAAGGAAAGAUGCUCUGUUCAUGGAAGCAGCAAGUUCUGUGAAGCUCGUUCUGGAGAAGAGAAGGGGGAAAAGGAAGAAACCUGAAAAGAGAUGGUAGAAACUGGCUGCUGUGUAACCAUGGGAAACCCUGCAUGAGAAAUGCACUCGCUCACUGCUCUGUAACAUUAUACCCUGAUACUACUAACAUCCUGUGGAAAAAACUACCAUAAUCCAGGUUUGUCCUGUAACACGCCAUGUGCCGCGCUCUGUAACAUUUUCGGCGGAUAAAUAGUGAUCUUGUCCUGGAUUGUCUCC